AAUCCAGCCAUCAAUAGAUAUUUUAUUACAAUUGUAUUUUUAUUAGAAUUGCACUUCCAUGGUGGGACUGGUGGUUUAUUUUCUAUGUCUUGUUGCUUCUAACUUGGAUUAAUUAAUCUUCUUGCUGGAUAAAAUGGCUGAUUUUUCUUUGAUUCAUUCUGCCUUUUGAAACCAGUUAAAUGAUUUGCAACAAAGUAAAACAUAAACAUUGCACA
Molecule: long non-coding RNA, 215 nt
Filed under: Pan troglodytes (chimpanzee)
Lineage: Eukaryota; Metazoa; Chordata; Mammalia; Primates; Hominidae
Description: long non-coding RNA NONPTRT014148
Source: RNAcentral